GAAGGUGUAAGUUAAGUUUAAACUUUAUGGUUCAUGUUCAUAUAAUAUGCCUUUGGGCGUUGCCUUUU
Molecule: transfer RNA, 68 nt
Filed under: Apharyngostrigea pipientis
Lineage: Eukaryota; Metazoa; Platyhelminthes; Trematoda; Diplostomida; Strigeidae
Description: tRNA-Met
Source: RNAcentral